Molecule: ribosomal RNA, 441 nt
Filed under: uncultured bacterium
Lineage: Bacteria
Description: bacterial SSU rRNA
Rfam family: Bacterial small subunit ribosomal RNA
Source: RNAcentral
AUUGAACGCUGGCGGCAGGCCUAACACAUGCAAGUCGAGCGGAGGUAGCAAUACCUUAGCGGCGGACGGGUGAGGAAUGCAUCGGAACGUGCCGAGUAGUGGGGGAUAACGCAGGGAAACUCGCGCUAAUACCGCAUACGCCCCGAGGGGGAAAGUGGGGGACCGCAAGGCCUCACGCUAUUUGAGCGGCCGAUGCCCGAUUAGCUAGUUGGUGAGGUAAUGGCUCACCAAGGCGACGAUCGGUAGCUGGUCUGAGAGGAUGAUCAGCCACACUGGAACUGAGACACGGUCCAGACUCCUACGGGAGGCAGCAGUGGGGAAUAUUGGACAAUGGGGGCAACCCUGAUCCAGCCAUGCCGCGUGAGUGAAGAAGGCCUUCGGGUUGUAAAGGCUCUUUAAAGUCGGGGAGGAAGGGUACGUACGGUUAAGUAACCGUGCGAA